Molecule: ribosomal RNA, 253 nt
Filed under: uncultured bacterium
Lineage: Bacteria
Description: partial 16S ribosomal RNA
Rfam family: Bacterial small subunit ribosomal RNA
Source: RNAcentral
UACGAAAGGGGCUAGCGUUGUUCGGAAUUACUGGGCGUAAAGCGCACGUAGGCGGCCUUGUAAGUUGGGGGUGAAAUCCCGGAGCUCAACUCCGGAACUGCCUCCAAAACUACAAAGCUCGAGGAUGUGAGAGGAGAGUGGAAUUCCGAGUGUAGAGGUGAAAUUCGUAGAUAUUCGGAAGAACACCAGUGGCGAAGGCGACUCUCUGGCACAUUUCUGACGCUGAGGUGCGAAAGCUAGGGGAGCGAACGGG